Molecule: ribosomal RNA, 274 nt
Filed under: uncultured bacterium
Lineage: Bacteria
Description: partial 16S ribosomal RNA
Rfam family: Bacterial small subunit ribosomal RNA
Source: RNAcentral
AUACGGAGGGUGCAAGCGUUACUCGGAAUCACUGGGCGUAAAGGACGCGUAGGCGGGUUAUUAAGUCGGGUGUGAAAUCCAAUGGCUCAACCAUUGAACUGCAUUCGAAACUGAUAACCUAGAGUAUGGAAGGGGCAGGUGGAAUUAGUGGUGUAGGGGUAAAAUCCGUAGAUAUCACUAGGAAUACCGAAAGCGAAGGCGACCUGCUGGGACAUUACUGACGCUGAGGCGUGAAAGCGUGGGGAGCAAACAGGAUUAGAAACCCCAGUAGUCC